This 253-nucleotide ribosomal RNA is filed under the name uncultured bacterium. RNAcentral's name for it is "partial 16S ribosomal RNA". It matches the Rfam family "Bacterial small subunit ribosomal RNA", at positions 524 to 776 of the family's 1533-position model. The record is from RNAcentral.
UACGUAGGUGGCAAGCGUUGUCCGGAAUUACUGGGCGUAAAGGGUGCGUAGGCGGAUAUUUAAGUAGAAAGUGAAAGGUUGGAGUUCAACUCCAACAUUGCUUCCUAUACUGGAUGUCUUGAGUUUCGGAUAGGAAGAUGGAACGACACGUGUAGCGGUGAAAUGCGGUGAGAUGUGUCGGAACACCAAUAGCGAAGGCAAUCUUCUGGACGAAUACUGACGCUGAGGCACGAAAGCCAAGGGAGCGAACAGG